AUGAUCCCAAUCACCUGGCCGUUUGCAGUUUGGGGGCUUGACAUGGUUGUACCUUUCAAAAGAUCUAAGGACAAAAAGACACAUCUGCUGGUGGCAGUGGACAAGUUUACCAAGUGGGCUGAGGCAGAGCCGGUCAGUAAGUGUGAUGCAGCCACGGCGGUUCAGUUCAUGAAAAAGGUGAUCUUUCGUUUUGGCUUUCCACAUAGCAUUAUAACUGAUAAUGGCACUAAUCUCUCUAAGGGUGCCAUGGAAGAGUUCUGUCAAAGAGAACAUAUCCGGCUUGAUGUUUCGGCUGUUGCUCAUCCUCAAUCCAAUGGUCAAGCAGAGAGAGCUAAUCAAGAGAUCCUGAAAGGCAUCAAGCCCCGGCUUUUGGUCCCUUUACAGCAGACUCCGGGUUGUUGGGUGGAGGAGUUACCCUCCAUGUUAUGGAGCAUCAACACUAUGCCUAACAGAUCUACGGGAUCCAUACCUUUCUUCAUGGUUUAUGGAGCAGAGGCGGUCCUACCAAGUGACAUCCGGCACGACUCACCCCGUGUGGCGGCUUACGUUGAGGCGGAUAACGAAAAGGCUCGUCAAGAUGCACUUGACUUGUUGGACGAGGAGCGAGACUUGGCAAUAGCCCGCUCGGCGAUUUACUAG
Molecule: ribosomal RNA, 639 nt
Filed under: Triticum aestivum (bread wheat)
Lineage: Eukaryota; Viridiplantae; Streptophyta; Magnoliopsida; Poales; Poaceae
Description: partial small subunit ribosomal RNA
Source: RNAcentral